GUGUGUGCUGACUUGAUCAGAGAAGUAAAGGAAAAGAAUCUCAAAGUGAAAGGACCAGUUUGAAUGCCUACCAAGACUUUGAGAAUCACUACAAGAAAAACUCCUUGUGGUGAAGGUUCUAAGACAUGGGAUCGUUUCCAGAUGAGACUCCACAAGCGACUCAUUGAUUUGCACGGUCCUUCUGAGAUUGUUAAGCAGAUUACUUCCAUCAGUACUGAGCCAGGAGUUGAGGUGGAAGUCAUCAUUGCAGAUG
RNAcentral lists this long non-coding RNA (253 nucleotides) under Homo sapiens (human). Its description in RNAcentral is "non-protein coding lnc-CYP26B1-4:1". The record is from RNAcentral. Lineage: Eukaryota; Metazoa; Chordata; Mammalia; Primates; Hominidae.